UACGAAGGGGGCUAGCGUUGCUCGGAAUCACUGGGCGUAAAGCGCACGUAGGCGGCUUUCUAAGUCAGGGGUGAAAUCCUGGAGCUCAACUCCAGAACUGCCUUUGAUACUGGAGAGCUUGAGUCCGGGAGAGGUGAGUGGAACUCCGAGUGUAGAGGUGAAAUUCGUAGAUAUUCGGAAGGAACACCAGUGGCGAAGGCGGCUCACUGGCCCGGUACUGACGCUGGGGUGCGAAAGCGAUGGGGAGCAAACAGG
RNAcentral lists this ribosomal RNA (255 nucleotides) under uncultured bacterium. Its description in RNAcentral is "partial 16S ribosomal RNA". It matches the Rfam family "Bacterial small subunit ribosomal RNA", at positions 524 to 776 of the family's 1533-position model. The record is from RNAcentral.